This is a long non-coding RNA of Hypanus sabinus (Atlantic stingray), 2509 nucleotides long. RefSeq lists it as uncharacterized. NCBI's taxonomy places the organism in Eukaryota, Metazoa, Chordata, Chondrichthyes, Myliobatiformes, Dasyatidae. The transcript is spliced from 6 exons. The record is from RefSeq and is a predicted model, not a curated record.
UCCAUGGAAAUGAGCAGUCAACAUUUCAGGCCGAGACCCUUUGUAAGUCCUGAUGAAGGACUGACAAAAGGUCAUUUCCACGGAUGCUGCCUGACCUGCUGAGUUCCUCUAGCAUGUUGUAUGUGUUGGUUUGACCACAGCAUCUGCAGUGUACUUUGUGUUUAAUAUGUUUGUGAUGACUUUUUCUAUAAAUUGAUAAGAUUUAAGAAGUAUUGCUCCAGUGAAGCAGUCCAUCAGAAUGGGGAAAACCUUGCUGUUAUUUACUGUUUGAUGUCCCUUCCUGCAUUGUCCCUAAGUGAUCCUCUGUUUUUACAACUUAUUAUGCAUUGUUGCCUGAUGAACCCAAGGAAUGUAAACACUUCAGUUUAACAAUAACUCCUGAGGAACUUAAGAAUGAUAUCUCAGUGAAACACCAUCCCCAAUGGCUAUUAUGGAUAUUUCAAUGCUAACUGGAUUCUCUCCAGAUAUCAGUGAUCUUGAUCACCAAAGAGUUGUGCUAAUUUUUACAAUGUCCCUGGAAACAGUAUUAUGCUUCAGAUAAUCUGCCUAGGUGAUGUGCGCAAAUGCUCUGUAGGAAGUUGCAUCUCAUUAGAAACAAGUGAAGAAGACCUUGAAAGGUGUGUUGACAUAUCGUGCACCUCAGGAACAGAGUUUGUUUACAAAGUGACAUUUCUUGAGAAGACAAAGAGAGAGUUCCAUAAAUUUCAAAAUGAAAAUUCUGACUCUUAUCAAACUAGGCAAGUAAUUUUCAUAUUUCAGAAGCAUGGACAACAAAAGAAGAAAAAAAUCUUCAGUCAAUAGAGAUUUCAACCCAUCACUUGAACACUUCUGCAUUCAAAAUAAACAUUAAAAACCAUGUAUGUUGUUCAAUGUACUGUAGUGUUAAAUUUCAAUUCUUAGAUGGUAUGGUUCAACUGCAUGUUGCUGCUUUAAAGGGACGUUCAGACAUCACAUCCCACGAAUUUUGGCACAACAUACCAGAAUGGAGAUUGCUAGCUCUCUGCAAUUGCAAGCAUUUAUAUACAUUUGAGAAAACAAGGAGUUUUCAGCAGAAAUGGAAUAGAUUAGGAGAAUGGGCAAAGAAGUAGCAGAUGGAAUACAGUGUAAGAAGUGUAUAGCCAUGCACUUUGGUAGAAGGAAUAAAGGCAUAGGCAAAUUUUUAAGCAGCGAGCAAAUUCAGAAAUCAGAGAUGCAAAUGAACCUGGGAGUCCUCUUGCAGAUUCCCUAAAGAUUAACUUGCAGGUUGUGUCGAUGCAGGAGGGUAAACGUGAAGAGAGCAUUAAUUUUGAGGACUAGAAAAUAAAAGUAAACUGAGCCUUUAAAAGACAUUGUUCUUCCUGCACUUGGAGUAUUGUGAGCAGUUUUGGGUCCCUUAUCUAAAAAAGAAUGUGCUGCCAUUGGAGAGAAUCCAGAGAUGUUUCCUGGGAAUAAUCCCAGAAUGAAAGAAUUGAUGUAUGUGAAGUAUUUGGUAGCUCAAGGCCUGUACCCGCAGGAGUUCACAAGAAUGAUAGGGGAUCUCAUUGAAACUUAUUGAGUAUUGAAAGACCUAAAGGACAUGGAGAUGAUGUUUCCUAUAGUACAGUAGUCCAGGACCAGAGAGUACAGACUCUGAAUAGUAGGAUGUCAUUUUAGAACAGAAAUGCGAAGGAAUUUCAUUAGCCAGUGAGUGGUGAAUCUGUGGAAUUCAUUGCCACAAAGGUCUGUGGAGGAUAAGUCGAUGGACAUAUUUAAAGCGGAUGUUGUUAGUUUUUUGAUUAGUCAUAAUACGAAAAGGGCAGGAGAAUGGGAUUGAGAGGGAUCAAAAAUGGCAGAGCAAACUGGAUGGGCUGAAUGGCUUAACUCUGCUCCUAUAUCUUAUGAUCUUUUGUUGUCUGUUUAAUAUUGGCAAAUAUUCUCAAAGAUGCCCAGAAUGUUAUCAAGCAGAGUUAUUGAGAGUUUCUCUGGUUGAGACAAUAGGGUAAAAAUAUUCAAAAUGGUUGCAUUCAAUUAACUGUUACAGUUAAUUGUUCAAAAGGGUAAAAUAUGUCACACAGUAUGUCAUUUCUGAUUUGGAUAUUCUCUCCACAUCCAGUCUACCAAAGUUUUUCAACAUACAAUAGGUUUUGAAAGAAAGAGCAAAGAGCAAUGCAGAGAAAUGGAAAUCCUAACAUAGGGAUUGCCCCUUUGCUUCCAAAAAAUGCUGCCUAACUUUUUGAACUCCUCAAGAAACUUGAUAGAAUUUAUUUAUUUUAUUUAGAAAUAUAGUGCAGAACAGGCUCUCCAGAUAUUGAAAAAUUACUUACUCCAUAACUUUUGGAAAUAUUUCAUUAAUCUUUUGAGAAGGGUACUUUAACUUUUUAUGAUGCUUCUGUUUCCUUAAUCCUUAAGAAAGAUAAAGAUCCUACUGAAUGUUCAUCAUAUAGAACUAUUUUGUUAUUAAAUGUGGAUGCAAAAAUUCUCUUUAAGAUAAUGGCUAACCAUUUGGAAAAAAAUUUAACUAAUAUUAUUUCUAUGGAUCAAACAGGCUUUA